GGUGGGCCUAACAUGGUAGACCUGAUAGAGAGAUGGAGGGAUGGAUGGAGGAUCUAACAUGGUAGACCUGAUAGAGAGAUGGAGGAUCUAACAUGGUAGACCUGAUAGAGAGAUGGAGGAUCUAACAUGGUAGACCUGAUAGAGGGAUGGAGGGAGGGAUGGAUGGAGGAUCUAACAUGGUAGACCUGAUAGAGGGAUGGAGGAUCUAACAUGGUAGACCUAAUAGAGAGAUGGAGGAUCUAACAUGGUAGACCUGAUAGAGGGAUGGAGGAUCUAACAUGGUAGACCUGAUAGAGAGAUGGAGGGAGGGAUGGAUGGAGGAUCUAACAUGGUAGACCUGAUAGAGAGACGGAUGGAGGGAUGGAGGACCUGAUAGAGAGACGGAUAUGUAAUAUUCCCAGAACUGUGAACCCCUGAGCUUGCCUGGGUUAAUGGACCGAUAUAAUAUUCCCAGAACUGUGAACCCGCCCAUCUGGUACUCCAGGCAGGCUAGAGCAAAACGCUCAACGGGAUUUGAAAGAUUUAGAAUAGUAUUUAAACCCAUGUCUGAGAGAGAGAGAGAGAGAGAGAGAGAGAGAGAGAGAAAAAAAAAGGUGGAAAAGAAAAAAACAGACUUCUAACAUGGUAGACCGCUGAGGAAGACGGGUAGUAUGAGAGGUACGAUGUGUUUGUAUAAAGGACUUCACCACUGCGAGUAACACUUCCUCCCGAUUCGGCUCGUACCUGGCGCGAACUCAGGACCUCUGCCUUUCUAGCACAUGUGGCUGCCCUCCUGAAUCGCCUUACUAGUCGGUGCCACACAAAGAAAACCUAGUGUUUGUGUUUGUAUGCGUGUUGUGUUGUGUUGUGUUGUGUCUCCCAGGGUGUCCAGUCUACCAUCUGGCCCCAGCCAUCUCCAGGACUGAGCAACAGGGCACCAGGGGUGAUGGCCGGGUCCUUCCCCCAGACAGAGGGCCCAUGGCUGGGCAACCAUCUGUGGUUUGGUGGCCUCUAGGCUGGAGGUCACUGGGUCUCUCCAGGGGCACAGAAAUACAGGGAAACUACCUGAGGGGGAUCUUCCUGUACACACACACACACACACACACACACACACACACACACACACACACACACACACACACACACACACACACACACACACAUACAGACACCCCCACAUUAGUAAUGUAAUGUAAUAUUGAAAUGCAAUAACGGAGCAAUGUGUAAAUGUGUUUAUUUCACACUGUUUUGUUUAAUGUAAUGUUUUAUCUCUGUUUCGACCCCAGGAGGAGUAUAUCGUAGAGGCUUCUUCAGUUUGCCCCCAUAGGGGAACCCUUUUUACUGCUGGGUAGAACCUUUUUUAGAGGAUUAUACCUAGAACCCUCUGUGUAGGGUUCUUCAUAGAACCCACGUAUAUGGUUCUUCCUAGAACCCUCUGUGUAGGGUUCUUCAUAGAACCCACGUAUAUGGUUCUUCCUAGAACCCUCUGUGUAGGGUUCUUCAUAGAACCCCGUAUAUGGUUCUUCCUAGAACACUCUGUGUACGGUUCUUCAUAGAACCCACUGUACAGUAUAUGGUUCUUCCUAGAACCCUCUAUGAACGGUUCCACCAUCCUUAUUAGCCUUUAAAAAUAAGUUGUUUAUGAACAUACAUCACAUAUAUCAUGAGGCCUUUCUUUGAGGGCCUAGUUAUACACAGUGGCGUUAGGAAACUCCUGGUUUACAGGCCACAUUAGGCCGGCAAGUCACAUUAUGUGGGCUUGGAAAGUGAUGUGUAAUUCCUAUUGGAAUCCAGCCAGAGUUAGGAUAUCCAACAAGCGGAAUUGUUAAUCACCUGCAACCUGCAUUCAGAAUGACUGCCAGGGUAGGGAAGAUUGAAUGCUGAGACUACGUAAACUAUCUGAUUAACGGAUGCAAAAAAUCCAACUACUAACAGAUUGGAUUAGUUUAGAAAACGAUGUUAUUUAUCUUUGUGUGGCAUAAAAUUAAUCAACCAAUCGGUGUACAUGCAAAAACACAGG
RNAcentral lists this long non-coding RNA (1999 nucleotides) under Salmo salar (Atlantic salmon). RNAcentral's name for it is "lncRNA (ENSSSAG00000114880.1)". Lineage: Eukaryota; Metazoa; Chordata; Actinopteri; Salmoniformes; Salmonidae. The record is from RNAcentral.